UUUGGACUUGGACUUUUGGGUUAAUGCUGAAAUCAGCUAAGACUCUGGGGGGACUGCUGGAAAUGCAUGACUGUGCUCUAAAAUGUGAGGAUAUGAGAUCUGAGAGGGGCCUGGAAUAGAAUGGUAUGGUUUGGUGGUGUCCCCACUCAAAUCUCAUCUUGAAUUGUAGUUCCCAUAAUCCCCAUGUGUGAUAGCGGGGACCCUGUGGGAGAUAAUUGAAUCAUGAGGGCAGUUUCCUCCAUGCUAUUCUCACGAUAGUGAGUACGUUCUCAGGAGACCUGAUGGUUUUAAAUAAUGGGCUUCCCCUUUUACUCAGCUCUCAUUCUUCUCUUUCUUGCCAUCAUGUGAAGAAAGAUGUGCUUGUUUCCCCUUCCACCAUGAUUAUUACUCAGUCUUGGGCAGUUCUUUACAGCAGCGUGUGAAUGGACUAACACACCAGUUACAUAAAGAAUUGAAAAUAGUCAAACUCCUAGAAGCAGAGAGUGGAAUGGUGAUUACCAGGGGCUUAGGGAAGCAGGAAACCAGGAGGUACACAGCUUCUGCUAUGCAAGACGAUGAUAGAUCCAUGGACAACUCACUGGAUGUGGCCCUGUGAGGCACUAGAGGGAGACUGGGAGGUGGAGAGAAGAAUCAAGCCAGCCUUGUCUUCUCUUUACCCACUUCCAAUGGCAGUGGCUGUGUGAUGGCCUCAGUUUCCCCAGGGAGGCACCCACGGGCAUUUCCCGCGUAAACUCUUAGUCAAUGACUCAAGUCAUGCUAUGAGCAACAAUUUCUGUGUUCCACAUCAUCUACAAGCAACACAAUCUGUGACUCUCCAUCUGCCCCUAGUUAUGCUUUGGCCAGUAAUCCAAUUGCUACCGUCAUGCUUUCCUCUUAAAGAGUCCCUGGAUAUUCCUGCCUAGCUUGAGGGAAGUUACUUCAUUAGGGUGAUUUGGGCACUUGGGGAACCUUUGCCAUCUUUAUGACUUAAAUUUUGACUUACCAAAAUAAAUAAGACAUAUAAGGAAAGAACAUAAAUUUAAUAGAAAAAUUCAACAUAUUUCCCCGUGGAUGUCUUAUUUACAUUAAUUUGGCCUCUCCUUUCUGUCCUACUCACCCCUCCUAAAUAGAAAACAAAGUUAAUUAUUUGAUUGGCUGUAUUAGGGAAAGAAUUAGGGCUGAACCUGUUUGUCUUUUGUUCUCUGUUUAUUUGGAAAUCUGAAAUAGCAUCUAUUCUUGGAUUAUCUGUAUCAUAAAUAUUCAAGGAAGAGCUGGACCUGGCACCACACCAACCAUCAUAUCGUCCUCUUGAGUUGAUCAUUGCCCAUUGGGGAGUGAGAAGCAGGCUAUGAAAGCAAACAGCUUAGCCGUGGUUACUAGACGAGCGGUAAUAUACACCCAGAAGAGAAGGAGAUGGUAGGACCACAGAGAGCAAAGGAUGCAGCCACAGACCAAGGAAUACCACAGGCACCAGAAGCUGGAAGAGCCAAGAAAUGGAUGUUUCCCCAGAGCCUCUGGAGGGAGCAGGCCCUGCUGACACCCUGAGUUUGGCCUAGUGAAACUGACUUCAGACUUCUAGCCUUCAGAACAGGGAAACAAUACAUUUCGGGUUUGUUUAUGGCAAUUUAUCAUAGCAGCGACAGGAAAUUAACUCAUAAAUCACUGGUCCCCAUUUCCUUGCUCAGGUGAAAAAUGUCCCUUGGGUUCACUCUCUUUGGACUUUUGGGGCCCAUUAUGUGCUAGACUGACAACUGCAGGCACAGUCCAUUUUCAUUGCACAGGGGGCAUUGUCUAAACUUACCGGUUUGACUUGACAAAUAAUACAAACAAAAUAAAUUUAGUUUUGACAGACUGAAAUGAAUUGAAUUGGUUGAAGUGAACAUAAAGAACCAUAUGAUUUUUUAAAAAACUACUUCUUAUUUUUUAAAGCCCAACACAGUACUGUGGAUUAUAACAUAUGUAUACAUGUUUGUGGGUAUCUAUACAUGCACAUAUACACACACACACACACACACAUAUAUAUAUAUAUAUAUACACACAUAUAUAUAUGAAUUUUCAACCAAAAUGUGAAGAAAAUUGUAGUUAAAAAUGCCAUAAUUUAUCUUUUACUGGUAAUUUCUAACUUAUCGCUUUAAUUUUCUCUGCCUCCCAAACAUCCUUACUCAAAAAUUGGAGAAGAAAUUUUUAUUUAUCCAUCUAGCUCCUCUUUAUCAUCUUAGUCUGUUCAGCUGCAAUAUCACUACAGCAGGGAUAACACUUUUAAAUAUAAUCUGCUCUAAUCUGCAUAAUUGUCUAACAGAAAACAGACAGGUGGUGCCUUCUCAAUCAGCUUAAGGUCAGUCUCUGAAGCAAACGUCACGAACAUAUGCAAAUCGUCGGCUAAUAUGCUAAAUCAGAGGAUGUGUUUUUAUUAAGAAUUUCGAAUCUGCAAAAUGGUUUCUCCUUGUAUUAUUUUUUCCUGGAAACUUUCAGGUUUUUUCCUUUGUGCUGUAUGUUUAAGCCUGUAUGCUAAUCUUGACUUAAUCCCUAUUCAUCUUUCCAUCAUUAAACACGAUCCUGUCAUUCAGAUGUUUGAAGGCUUAAGAGUGACUGUUUCUACUCUUUUAACUGCAACAAUUUGGCAUCCUGUUUCCCAUAACUGCCAUAUCCAUGUUUUAUGGGAUUUUGAAAAGGUUUCGGGAAGUAUUUUGGACACAGGACAGCCUACUGAAUGAGACUUGGAAAGUGCCCCAAGCAAAGUGGUAGGGGCCAAGAGAAAGCCCAGAAAUGAUUCAUGGUGUGUUCACACCGUGUGGGCUGGCAAGUGCGGGAGACGGCUCUCUGCUAGCAGACUGGAACUAAAUUCUUAGACAUUCCUGGGUUGCCAAACAAUGUCAUCACAGGGGUUCCUAAAGAAGCUGUGAAUUGGAUGUCAGUGUCUUUUGGCUGAAAGGAGAGUUUGUGUCAGACCCCAAGAGGUCUCCUUAGAUACAUUUUUCUAAUUGAGGCUCCUUCUCUUCCCCUGACAAAGAAAAGCAUUGACACCUGUGUAUUCUGCGUGGGGAAGACUUUCAGCUAAGCCAGAUUCCAAGCGGGAGGUUACAGCAGGCUCGGGUGUGGUUUAUUCCCUCUGCCAGUUCAAUACUUUUACCCCACAUUUUCAAAGAAAGUGUGUGUCCUGUCUGGUCCCUGCACACCCUUCCUCCUCACCCAACACUCUGUGGUCCUACAAUUUGACUACUAUUCUUGCUGCUAGAGAGGCCAGGCUACACGGCAUCCAAAGGGGAUCCCAUCGCCACGGCAGACACUUUGGCUACGUCCUGCCCUUCUCUUUCCUUCUCUGACCUUUUAUUUCCAUGGUGAAAAUCCACAGCUCUUUAACACACUCUGCAGCAGCCCAUUUUUAGCUUAAAUAAAAGUGAAGAGAGGAUUUAGUAUUCCAAUCCCACUGCAUUAGUGUCAAAUAUGUUUAUGCUAGUAAGAGGAAAAUAAAUACAUUCUGUCAUACAGAUGCCAUUCAAAUCUAAUGGGACUCAAUUUCAUGCUUUCAAUACUGAGAGGAAGUACCCAGAUUAGCCUCAAAUCAAGAGUGAUUCCUGAAACUUCUCUAUUUGCCACAUGCUAGAUUUCCAGUUUUUUUAUUGUCUUUAUAUAUAUAUUUUUUAAUAGCAACAACACUAGAUACCAUUCUGACAUGCUUUCC
This 3661-nucleotide long non-coding RNA is filed under the name Homo sapiens (human). RNAcentral describes it as "HSALNT0083741". The record is from RNAcentral. Lineage: Eukaryota; Metazoa; Chordata; Mammalia; Primates; Hominidae.